AGAAUCAACGCUGGCGGCGUGCCUCAGACAUGCAAGUCGAACGAUUAAAGCUCUCUUCGGAGAGUGUAUAGAGUGGCGCACGGGUGAGUAACACGUAAGUAAUCUACCUUUGAGUGGGGAAUAACGUCCGGAAACGGACGCUAAUACCGCAUAAUGCAGCGCAUCGCAAGAUGACAGUUAGUUAAAGAUUU
This 191-nucleotide ribosomal RNA is filed under the name uncultured soil bacterium. Its description in RNAcentral is "partial 16S ribosomal RNA". It matches the Rfam family "Bacterial small subunit ribosomal RNA", at positions 26 to 210 of the family's 1533-position model. The record is from RNAcentral.